AUGAACGCUGGCGGCGUGCCUAAUACAUGCAAUUCGAGCGAACAGACGAGGAGCUUGCUCCUCUGACGUUAGCGGCGGACGGGUGAGUAACACGUGGAUAACCUACCUAUAAGCCUGGGAUAACUUCGGGAAACCGGAGCUAAUACCGGAUAAUAUAUUGAACCGCAUGGUUCAAUAGUGAAAGACGGUUUUGCUGUCACUUAUAGAUGGAUCCGCGCCGCAUUAGCUAGUUGGUAAGGUAACGGCUUACCAAGGCAACGAUGCGUAGCCGACCUGAGAGGGUGAUAGGCCACACUGGAACUGAGACACGGUCCAGACUCCUACGGGAGGCAGCAGUAGGGAAUCUUCCGCAAUGGGCGAAAGCCUGAAGGAGCAACGCCGCGUGAGUGAUGAAGGUCUUCGGAUCGUAAAACUCUGUUAUUAGGGAAGAACAAAUGUGUAAGUAACUAUGCAAGUCUUGACGGUACCUAAUCAGAAAGCCACGGCUAACUACGUG
Molecule: ribosomal RNA, 496 nt
Filed under: uncultured bacterium
Lineage: Bacteria
Description: partial 16S ribosomal RNA
Rfam family: Bacterial small subunit ribosomal RNA
Source: RNAcentral